ACUCCUACGGGAGGCAGCAGUGGGGAAUAUUGCACAAUGGGCGCAAGCCUGAUGCAGCCAUGCCGCGUGUAUGAAGAAGGCCUUCGGGUUGUAAAGUACUUUCAGCAGUGAGGAAGGUGGGUAUGUUAAUAGCAUACACAUUUGACGUUAGCUGCAGAAGAAGCACCGGCUAACUCCGUGCCAGCAGCCGCGGUAAUACGGAGGGUGCGAGCGUUAUCCGGAAUCAUUGGGUUUAAAGGGUCCGUAGGUGGAUGAUUAAGUCAGAGGUGAAAUCCUGCAGCUCAACUGUAGAAUUGCCUUUGAUACUGGUUGUCUUGAAUUAUUGUGAAGUAGUUAGAAUAUGUGGUGUAGCGGUGAAAUGCAUAGAUAUCACAUAGAAUACCGAUUGCGAAGGCAGAUUACUAACAAUACAUUGACACUGAUGGACGAAAGCGUGGGGAGCGAACAGGAUUAGAUACCCUGGUAGCCCGAUGU
Molecule: ribosomal RNA, 474 nt
Filed under: uncultured bacterium
Lineage: Bacteria
Description: bacterial SSU rRNA
Rfam family: Bacterial small subunit ribosomal RNA
Source: RNAcentral